UAACCUACUAAAUAGUGCUGCUAGCAUUUGCUGGUAUAGUCACUUCUUAGAGGGACUAUCGAUUUCAAGUCGAUGGAAGUUUGAGGCAAUAACAGGUCUGUGAUGCCCUUAGACGUUCUGGGCCGCACGCGCGCUACACUGACGGAGCCAGCGAGUAUAAACCUUGGCCGAGAGGUCUGGGAAAUCUUGUGAAACUCCGUCGUGCUGGGGAUAGAGCAUUGUAAUUAUUGCUCUUCAACGAGGAAUUCCUAGUAAGCGCAAGUCAUCAGCUUGCGUUGAUUACGUCCCUGCCCUUUGUACACACCGCCCGUCGCU
RNAcentral lists this ribosomal RNA (315 nucleotides) under uncultured fungus. Its description in RNAcentral is "SSU rRNA". It matches the Rfam family "Eukaryotic small subunit ribosomal RNA", at positions 1344 to 1680 of the family's 1831-position model. Lineage: Eukaryota; Fungi. The record is from RNAcentral.